Molecule: long non-coding RNA, 5871 nt
Organism: Mercenaria mercenaria
Lineage: Eukaryota; Metazoa; Mollusca; Bivalvia; Venerida; Veneridae
Exons: 4
Source: RefSeq, a predicted model, not a curated record
ACCUGAAUAUCUGCAUGCGCGCCGAUGUUUACAAAAGGAAUGUCCAGUAUUUUUGGUGUCUUUCAGUGAUAUUUUACACAUUAGAACAACUGAAUAAAAUCUCCUUUCAAUUAACUAUCGAUAUAUCUGGUAUUUUACGUAAGACUGAGUCCCAAUAUUAUUGCAAUUCGGUAGCAAAGAUGUUGACACCACAUGUCGUCUGAUGAUGAGUUUUACAGGAUCGAAUAAGGUUUGGUCAUUGUAUUCCCUGAAAGGAACAAGAGGAGAAAAGAAACUGGAAGACCUGCAUGCCUAUCCGCAGGCCAAUGCUGGCUGCAGGUCAAUAUUGAAUGCUCUUAUGAAAACUCAUAAGACAAUAACAAAAAAAAAGAAACUGACGAUGCUGUUUUUAAAACAUGUUCCAUUCAAAAAUGGUGGAUUGAAAUUUAAGAAAGGUGUGACGGGUGCGGCUACUGCAGGCAGGGAGGAUUUGACGGUCAGCCAGAGGAUUUGGAGAUAUACUGUAAUGUCUUUAAUGUGGACUUGCGUGUGAUUUAAGUUUUCACAAGGGUUUUAGUGUGUGUGAAAGUAUGUCAGUUUUCAAAAUUGAGCUAUGACAAUUUGCUCAAACUACAUAACUCAAAGAACUUUGAAGCGGUCUUGUUGAUGUCAUGAGCUUUUGUUUAAUACCAGUAUUGGUGAUAUAGGCCCAUGAUUAUAUACUGUAGAAAGUGAACAAGUUCACUGCUCGAUACAGAUAAUCAUAUGGCCUGAUCUCUGAAUGAUAUUUAUGAACCAAAAGAAGGCAUAAAAUAAAAACAUACUGUAGUGAUUAAAAUUAUUGAUAUUGUUAAACUACAUCUGGGCCUGUAUUCAUAAAGGAUCUUAGUAAAAAAAAUUAUCUAUAACUUAAUAUUCUUCAAUUAACUCAGAAACUUUUCACGCUCUUUAAAUAUUUCACAGCAUGACUACAAACUUGUAUAUUAUACCAAAGAAAAAUAGAUUGGCAACUUGAAAGGCGUAUAGAGCAAAUCUCGCCAACAUCACAUGGCAACUGAAUGAGAUCUCGUUUUAGUAAGCAUAUUUGAUCACAGUUGAUCGUCAGCAAAUGCUUUGAAAUAAGAAAACUUGACCGUUUGUGUAUAAUGCUAAUGGUACUUUUUUAAUAAUGUUAUCAGUAUUUUCUACACAGGAAAGCAAUGAAUUUUUGAUUGGAAGUCUGAGAAAUCAGUUGUUUUAAAAUGGGCUUGAUUCGGUUUAUUACACGCCAGUGUAACAUUAAAUACUGACCACGUUGAAAAUUGACCCCAUAGAUCCUUUUCAACGUUGAGAAUUGACCCCGUCAACAUUUCAACAUCAAAUUUUGAUCAAAGGGUCAUUUUUCAACGUUGAGAAUUGACCCCGUCAACAUUUCAACAUUAAAUUUUGAUCAAAAGAUCCUUUUUCAGCGUUGAGAAAUGGCCCCACCAACAUUUCAACAUUAAAUUUUGAUCAAUGGGGUCAAUAUCUAAUGUUACACCGGCUGUACUGCCAGUUUAAUACUUUAGUAAGCAUCUGUUGAUUUGAUCACGACUGAUCAAAUCGGCAAACACUUUGAAAUAAUAUAACGUGAUCUAAUAUAACGUGCUAACACGAGCUGAUGCAAGACUCUCCAGUUGCCAUAUUACUGUCAAAUCGCCGAAUAGUGGAGCGCGCUGUCUUACAGACAGCUCAUUUUGUUGAGACCCCUUAGAGAAUUUCAAAUUUGUUGUCGCAAAUCUUCACUCUGAUGUGUUGCACACAAGUCGCAUCCAUAUAACCAUGGUCAAGGUCACACUUUGGUCAAAGGUCAAAAGAGAGUUGAUUCUAACACAUUCUUUGUUUAUUAUGUCUCCCCCAGGAGACAUAUUGUUUUUGCCCUGUCCGUCCGUCCGUCCUUCCGUCCGUCCGUCCAUACGUCACACUUCAUUUCCGAGCAAUAACUGGAGAACCAUUUGACCUAGAACCUUCAAACUUCAUAGGGUUGUAGGGCUGCUGGAGUAGACGACCUCUAUUGUUUUUGGGGUCACUCCAUCAAAGGUCAAGGUCACAGGGGCCUGAACAUUGAAAACCAUUUCCGAUCAGUAACUAGAGAACCACUUGACCAAGAAUGUUGAAACUUGAUAGGAUGAUUAUUCAUGAAGAGUAGAUGACCCCUAUUGAUUUUGGGGUCACUCCGUCAAAGGUCAAGGUCACAGGGGCCUGAACAUUGAAAACCAUUUCCGAUCAAUAACUAGAGAACCACUUGACCCAGAAUGUUGAAACUUCAUAGGAUGAUUGGUCAUGAAGAGUAGAUGACCCCUAUUGAUUUUGGGGUCACUCCGUCAAAGGUCAAGGUCACAGGGGCCUGAACAUGGAAAACCAUUUCCAAUCAAUAACUAGAGAACCACCUGACCCAGAAUGUUGAAACUUGAUAGGAUGAUUGGUCAUAAAGAGUAGAUGACCCUUAUUGAUUAUGGGAUCACUCCAUCAAAGGUCAAGGUCACAGGGGCCUGAACAUUGAAAACCAUUUCUGAUCAAUAACUAGAGAACCACUUGACCCAGAAUGUUGAAACUUCAUAGGAUGAUUGUACAUGCAAAGUAGAUGACCCCUAUCGAUUUUGGGGUCACUCCAUUAAAGGUCAAGGUCACAGGGGCCCGAACAUUGAAAACCAUUUCCGGUCAGUAACUUGAGAACCACUUGACCCAGAAUGUUGAAACUUUAUAGGAUGAUUGGUCAUAAAGAGUAGAUGACCCCUAACGAUUUUGGGGUCACUCUGUGAAAGGUCAAGGUCACAGGGGCCCGCACAUUGAAAACCAUUUCUGGUCAGUAACUUGAGAACCAUUUGACCCAGAAUGAUGAAACUUCGUAGGAUGAUUGGUCAUGCAGAGUAGAUGAACCCUAACGAUUUUAGGGUCACUCUGUGAAAGGUCAAGGCCACAGGGGCCUGAACAUGGAUAACCAGUUCCGAUCAAUAACUUGAGAACCUCUCGACCCAGAAUGUUGAAACUUCAUAGGAUGAUUGUUCAUGCAGAGUAAAUGACCCCUAUUGAUUUUGGGGUCAGUCUAUUAAAGGUCAAGGUCACAGUGGCCUGUUCAUGUAAAAUCAUUUUUUGGAAAUAACUUGAGAACCACUUGACCUACAAUAUUGAAACUUAACAGGAUGAUUGGACAUGCAGAGUACAUGACCCCUAUUUAUUUUGAGGUCACUUGAUCAAAGGUCAGGGUCACAGGAGCCUGAACUGUGACUUGAGAACCACUAGGCCACGAGUGUUGAAAUUUAGCGGGAUGACUGGACAUGCCAAGUAGAUGAUCCCUAUUGCAGCCAACAUUCAGUGUCUCUUUGACUUUCGCUCCUGACCCCUAUUGACUUCUUGCCUAUAGGACUUUGCAUUGGGGGAGACAUGCGCUUUUUUACAAAAGCAUUUUCUAGUUCUUUCACUAUUUUUUAUCAGAAAAUCAAAUUAUUGAUCGUCUGCAUUACUUAAAUUUUGUUUUUCUCAAAAACUGUCAAAGGUAACCAUUUGAAACUUGGAAAACUUGUUCACUUUUACACAUUUUAUUCAUUGCAAUGCAGGUAACCCUGUGAUUUGUUUUUACAGAGGUAAUACCUCUUACAGCCUGUCAGUCUCCAAUUUCUCAAUACAGUGUAACAAGGUAUUUUUCUUCUUUACAGUGGUGACCUCAUUCUGCUGACUAGGUGACUUUCAAUGAUUUUUUUGUUGAGCUAUUACACUUUUUCGACCUUAAAUUUUCAGUUUUUUUUUUUUUUUUUCAAUCCAAUUACCCAGUAUCUUAUCAUAGGUAUUGACAUGAUACUAGACAUAAUUUAUUGUGAUGACCCAAUUUGUUAGACAAGAGGAGGUAACUCUGUCAAGGAUCAUUUUCUAAGAAUUAUUGCCCUUUUUAUACGCCCGUUUGAAAAAUUGGAUGUAUUAUGGGAACGCCCCUGGCGGGCUGGCAGGUGACGUCCGGAGCAUAUCUUCUUCAUGCAUGGAGGGAUUUUGAUGAAACUUGGCACAGUUGCUCACCAUCAUGAGAUGGAGUGUCAUGCGCAAGAACCAGGUCACUAGGGCUGUUCAGAGUAUGUGCAUCCGUGCGUGUGUCCGGAUUUGAUUGUCCAGACUGUAACUUUGACAUGCAUGGAGUAAUCUCGUUUAUAUUUGGCAUGAAUGUUAACCUCAGUGAGACGGAGUCAUGUGCAAACCACAGGUUCCUAUCUCGAAGGUCAAGGUCACACUUAGAGGUCAAAGGUUAAAUUCAAUAAUGACUUUAUCCGGAGCAUUUCUUCUUCAUGCAUGGAUGAAUUUUGAUGAAGCUUGGCACAAUUGUUCACCAUCAUGAGACGGAGUGUCAUGCGCAAGAACCAGGUCCCUAGGUCUAAGGUCAAGGUCACAAUUAGAGGUCAAAGGAUACAAGAAUGAAAACUUUGUUCGGAGCAUUUCUUCUUCAUGCAUGGAGGGAUUUUGAUAUUACUUGGCACAAAUGUUAACCACCAGGAGACAGUGUCAUGCGCAAGAACCAGGUCCCUAGGUCUAAGGUCAAGGUCAUACUUAGAGGCUAAAGUUCAGAUACAAGAAUAACAUUGUCCGAAGCAUUUCUUCUUCAUGCAUAGAGGGAUUUUGAUGUAACUUGGCACAAUUGUACACCAUCAUGAGACGGAGUGUUAUGCGCAAGUCCCUUAUUUAGAAUUACCUUCCUUUGUUGUUACUAUAAAUAGUUUAGGCCUAAAAAAAAAAAUUCUUUGUUUCCGGUAACAUGCUCAAAAAAAUUAGGGUAGGUAGGUCAGAAAAUAUUUUUUCUUUUUUAUUAAGGGAGACUUUUCGGAAAUUAUUUUUGUGUCAAAAAAUGGAUACAAAUAAGGAGGUUAUGCCUUUAGAGCAUCAGUAAGUUGUUUUCUAACAUCACUGGCCAUGUUUUAAACAUAAAAAGUGCAUUUUUUCAUCUUUUUUGUUAAAAAGUUGAAAAAAAUAUUCUCAAAGGCCAUAAAAACAUUUAGGGUCGGGCCAAAAAUUUAGGGUAGGUAGGGAUACCGGAAACAAACAAUUUUUUUUUACGCCUUAUAUUGCAACUUUUUCAUUACUAGUCGUAGGGAAAAAUGGAGAUCACUUUUCUGUAGUGCAACAUGCAUGAUACAUCCAAUUCUGAGAUGUAUUUUGACCUGUCUCUACCUGGUAAGAUUUUUGUGUGGACUUGCAAUUUUUUUGGGGGGGGGGGGGAUUUUUUUUUUAAAGAUUAACUUCCCUUAUUUGUUACUAUAAAUAACUUACAUUGUAACUUUUUUAUAAUUGAUCAUAUGGAAAACCAAGACCACCUUUUUGUGGUACAGCAUAGAUGUUUUUUUUAAUCAGUAACUUGAGAACCACUUUACCUAGAAUGUUAAAACAUAAUAGGAUGAUUGCACAUGCAGAGUUUAUGACCCCUAUUUAUUUUGGGGGUCACUGGACCUGAACAUGAGAAACAGUUUCCAUUUCAUAACUUAAGAACCACUAAGUCCAGAACUUUGAAACUUAGUCGGAUAAUUGGACAUGCCAAGUAGAUGAUCCCUUUUGCAGCCAACCAUCAUUGUCUCUUUGACUUUUACUCCUGUCCCCUAUUGACUUCUUGCCUAUACGACUAUGCAUUUGGGGAGACAUGCAUUUUUCUUCAAAAUCAUCUUCUAGUUCACCUUUGCCGAUCUUGCAGCUCAUGAAGUCUGUAUUUACCUUGUUCCUGUGGGCAUGUCAUUGUAUUAGAUUUUGUUAUCGUUUAACUACAUAAGCUUUUGUAUUUAAUUAAAUUGAAUUAUCGUUAUCGUUAAACUACAUAAUCUUUUUAUAAUUUUGGACUUGAAUUAUCAUAUAUUGUUAAACUACAUAAGUUUUUUGUAUUUGAUGGAUUUAAAUAAUUGUUAC